CCUACGGGAGGCAGCAGUAGGGAAUUUUGCGCAAUGGGGGAAACCCUGACGCAGCAACGCCGCGUGAAUGAUGAAGCCCUUAGGGGUGUAAAGUUCUGUCACCGGGGACGAAAGAUGACGGUACCCGGAGAGGAAGCACCGGCUAACUCCGUGCCAGCAGCCGCGGUAAU
This 170-nucleotide ribosomal RNA is filed under the name uncultured bacterium. RNAcentral describes it as "partial 16S ribosomal RNA". It matches the Rfam family "Bacterial small subunit ribosomal RNA", at positions 338 to 524 of the family's 1533-position model. The record is from RNAcentral.